AGUCGAACGCUUCUUUUUCCACCGGAGCUUGCUCCACCGGAAAAAGAAGAGUGGCGAACGGGUGAGUAACACGUGGGUAACCUGCCCAUCAGAAGGGGAUAACACUUGGAAACAGGUGCUAAUACCGUAUAACAAUCAAAACCGCAUGGUUUUGAUUUGAAAGGCGCUUUCGGGUGUCGCUGAUGGAUGGACCCGCGGUGCAUUAGCUAGUUGGUGAGGUAACGGCUCACCAAGGCCACGAUGCAUAGCCGACCUGAGAGGGUGAUCGGCCACAUUGGGACUGAGACACGGCCCAAACUCCUACGGGAGGCAGCAGUAGGGAAUCUUCGGCAAUGGACGAAAGUCUGACCGAGCAACGCCGCGUGAGUGAAGAAGGUUUUCGGAUCGUAAAACUCUGUUGUUAGAGAAGAACAAGGAUGAGAGUAACUGUUCAUCCCUUGACGGUAUCUAACCAGAAAGCCACGGCUAACUACGUGCCAGCAGCCGCGGUAAUACGUAGGUGGCAAGCGUUGUCCGGAUUUAUUGGGCGUAAAGCGAGCGCAGGCGGUUUCUUAAGUCUGAUGUGAAAGCCCCCGGCUCAACCGGGGAGGGUCAUUGGAAACUGGGAGACUUGAGUGCAGAAGAGGAGAGUGGAAUUCCAUGUGUAGCGGUGAAAUGCGUAGAUAUAUGGAGGAACACCAGUGGCGAAGGCGGCUCUCUGGUCUGUAACUGACGCUGAGGCUCGAAAGCGUGGGGAGCAAACAGGAUUAGAUACCCUGGUAGUCCACGCCGUAAACGAUGAGUGCUAAGUGUUGGAGGGUUUCCGCCCUUCAGUGCUGCAGCUAACGCAUUAAGCACUCCGCCUGGGGAGUACGACCGCAAGGUUGAAACUCAAAGGAAUUGACGGGGGCCC
Molecule: ribosomal RNA, 892 nt
Filed under: Enterococcus durans
Lineage: Bacteria; Bacillati; Bacillota; Bacilli; Lactobacillales; Enterococcaceae
Description: bacterial SSU rRNA
Rfam family: Bacterial small subunit ribosomal RNA
Source: RNAcentral